This 739-nucleotide ribosomal RNA is filed under the name Hynobius formosanus (Formosan salamander). RNAcentral describes it as "partial 16S ribosomal RNA". It matches the Rfam family "Bacterial large subunit ribosomal RNA", at positions 1817 to 2831 of the family's 2925-position model. Lineage: Eukaryota; Metazoa; Chordata; Amphibia; Caudata; Hynobiidae. The record is from RNAcentral.
CGCCUCUUGCAAUCAAAGUAUAAGAGGUCCUGCCUGCCCAGUGACACUAAGUUUAACGGCCGCGGUAUUAUGACCGUGCAAAGGUAGCGUAAUCACUUGUCUUUUAAAUAAAGACCAGUAUGAAUGGCAAGACGAAAGUUCAUCUGUCUCCCUAAAUUAAUCAAUGAAAUUGAUUUUUCCGUGCAAAAGCGGAAAUGUAAUUAUAAGACGAGAAGACCCUAUGGAGCUUUAAAUAUAUAAUCAACUGCAUAGCAAAAAUACGAAAGAUAAAAUAUUAAAUAAAACAGUAUGAUCAAAAUUUUAGGUUGGGGUGACCACGGAGAAAAACAAAACCUCCGAGAUGAAGAGAAUAUCUUAAUUUAAGAACUACAGUUCUAAGAAAUAAAAUAUUUAACAUAAUUGAUCCAAUAUAUUGAUCAACGAACCAAGUUACCCUAGGGAUAACAGCGCAAUCCUCUCCAAGAGUCCCUAUCGACGAGUGGGUUUACGACCUCGAUGUUGGAUCAGGACACCCCAAUGGUGCAGCCGCUAUUAAAGGUUCGUUUGUUCAACGAUUAAAGUCCUACGUGAUCUGAGUUCAGACCGGAGUAAUCCAGGUCAGUUUCUAUCUAUAAAAAUUUUUUUCUAGUACGAAAGGACCGAAAAAAUGGAGCCAAUAUAAAAACAAGCCCCACCUUCCCCUGUUGAAAACAAUUAAAAUAGAAUUAGGUAAAUAAUUCAAACCCCUAGAUAAGGGUUA